AGUGAACGCUGGCGGUAGGCCUAACACAUGCAAGUCGAACGGCAGCACAGUAAGAGCCUGCUCUUACGGGUGGCGAGUGGCGGACGGGUGAGGAAUACAUCGGAAUCUACUUUUUCGUGGGGGAUAAUGUAGGGAAACUUACGCUAAUACCGCAUACGACCUACGGGUGAAAGCAGGGGAUCUUCGGACCUUGCGCGAUUGAAUGAGCCGAUGUCGGAUUAGCUAGUUGGCGGGGUAAAGGCCCACCAAGGCGACGAUCCGUAGCUGGUCUGAGAGGAUGAUCAGCCACACUGGAACUGAGACACGGUCCAGACUCCUACGGGAGGCAGCAGUGGGGAAUAUUGGACAAUGGGCGCAAGCCUGAUCCAGCCAUACCGCGUGGGUGAAGAAGGCCUUCGGGUUGUAAAGCCCUUUUGUUGGGAAAGAAAAGCAGCAGGUUAAUACCCCGCUGUUCUGACGGUACCCAAAGAAUAAGCACCGGCUAACUUCGUG
This 492-nucleotide ribosomal RNA is filed under the name uncultured bacterium. RNAcentral describes it as "partial 16S ribosomal RNA". It matches the Rfam family "Bacterial small subunit ribosomal RNA", at positions 29 to 507 of the family's 1533-position model. The record is from RNAcentral.